AUACGUAGGGAGCGAGCGUUGUCCGGAAUUACUGGGUGUAAAGGGAGCGUAGGCGAAAGUGCAAGUCAGAUGUGAAAUACAUGGGCUCAACCCAUGGGCUGCAUUUGAAACUGCAUUUCUUGAGUGAAGUAGAGGUAAGCGGAAUUCCUGGUGUAGCGGUGAAAUGCGUAGAUAUCAGGAGGAACACCGGUGGCGAAGGCGGCUUACUGGGCUUUUACUGACGCUGAGGCUCGAAAGCGUGGGGAGCAAACAGGAUUAGAUACCCUGGUAGUCCACGCUGUAAACGAUGAUUACUAGGUGUGGGGGGACUGACCCCUUCCGUGCCGCAGUUAACACAAUAAGUAAUCCACCUGGGGAGUACGGCCGCAAGGUUGAAACUCAAAUGAAUUGACGGGG
Molecule: ribosomal RNA, 396 nt
Filed under: uncultured bacterium
Lineage: Bacteria
Description: partial 16S ribosomal RNA
Rfam family: Bacterial small subunit ribosomal RNA
Source: RNAcentral